RNAcentral lists this ribosomal RNA (565 nucleotides) under Hansenula anomala. Its description in RNAcentral is "Wickerhamomyces anomalus partial large subunit ribosomal RNA". It matches the Rfam family "Eukaryotic large subunit ribosomal RNA", at positions 77 to 656 of the family's 3401-position model. The record is from RNAcentral. Lineage: Eukaryota; Fungi; Ascomycota; Saccharomycetes; Phaffomycetales; Wickerhamomycetaceae.
GCCUCAGUACGGCGAGUGAAGCGGCAAAAGCUCAAAUUUGAAAUCUAGCACCUUCGGUGUUCGAGUUGUAAUUUGAAGAUGGUAACCUUGGGUUUGGCUCUUGUCUAUGUUCCUUGGAACAGGACGUCAUAGAGGGUGAGAAUCCCGUCUGAUGAGAUGCCCAUUCCUAUGUAAGGUGCUAUCGAAGAGUCGAGUUGUUUGGGAAUGCAGCUCUAAGUGGGUGGUAAAUUCCAUCUAAAGCUAAAUAUUGGCGAGAGACCGAUAGCGAACAAGUACAGUGAUGGAAAGAUGAAAAGAACUUUGAAAAGAGAGUGAAAAAGUACGUGAAAUUGUUGAAAGGGAAGGGCAUUAGAUCAGACUUGGUGUUUUACGAUUAUCUUCUCUUCUUGAGUUGUGCACUCGUAUUUCACUGGGCCAGCAUCGAUUCGGAUGGCAAGAUAAUGGCAGUUGAAUGUGGCUUCACUUCGGUGGAGUGUUAUAGCUUCUGCUGAUAUUGCCUGUCUGGAUCGAGGGCUGCGUCUUUUGACUAGGAUGCUGGCGUAAUGAUCUAAUGCCGCCCGUCUUG